GAUAAACGCUGGCGGCGUGCCUAACACAUGCAGGUCGAACGGAGUGUUGAGAGCUUGCUUUUAACACUUAGUGGCGGACGGGUGAGUAAUGUAUGAGCAACCUGCCUUUCAGAGGGGGACAACAGUUGGAAACGACUGCUAAUACCGCAUAAUGUAUUGAUGGGGCAUCCUGUUGAUACCAAAGGAGCAAUCCGCUGAAAGAUGGGCUCAUAUCUGAUUAGCUAGUUGGUGAGGUAACGGCUCACCAAGGCUGCGAUCAGUAGCCGGACUGAGAGGUUGAACGGCCACAUUGGGACUGAGAUACGGCCCAGACUCCUACGGGAGGCAGCAGUGGGGAAUAUUGGGCAAUGGGCGAAAGCCUGACCCAGCAACGCCGCGUGAAGGAAGAAGGUCUUCGGAUUGUAAACUUCUUUUAUGAGGGACGAAGGACGUGACGGUACCUCAUGAAUAAGCCACGGCUAACUACGUGCCAGCCGCCGCAGUAAGAC
RNAcentral lists this ribosomal RNA (488 nucleotides) under uncultured bacterium. RNAcentral describes it as "bacterial SSU rRNA". It matches the Rfam family "Bacterial small subunit ribosomal RNA", at positions 28 to 526 of the family's 1533-position model. The record is from RNAcentral.